AAGCUAAAUUAUUAAAGGGCAACAACCGGCAUUGAUCUCCCAAUUACACUGAACAGAAAUAAAUAAAAAUAGGAAAACUUUCAGUUAAAAUUGCAUUGUUGAGUGUUGUAGAACAGGCAUUGGCAAACUUCAGCCCUCCAGAUAUUUUGGACUUCAACUCCCACAAUUCCUAACAGUCUCUGGCCUAUUCUUUUCCCUUCCAAAAAGGGAAAAGGAAAGGGUCUGAUGCUGUUAGGAAUUGUGGGAGUUGAAGUCCAAAACAACUGGAGGGCCAAGGUUUGCCCAUGCAUGGUGUCAAAUAAUCUUGGCUAAGAACGAGGGAACAUUGAUAACUGACUAUAAAUGCAUGUGGAUGGAAGGAUCUUUGCAGAAGGAACUUUUAUAGUUGAACAUGGAAAAUGAGUUCUUCCAGAACAUUAACAUGCCCUCACGUGGAAUUGAUCUAGCAAACUAUCAUCCUGUCUCUCUUUCUGCUUCUGUGGGAAGGUAACAGAAUGCCAUGUAGUCAUGCUGGCCACAUAAUUUUGGAGGUGUCUACAGACAACACUGGCUCUUCAGCUUAGAAAUUGAGAUGAGCACCACCCCCCAGAGUUGGACACAACUAGACUUAAUGUCAGGGGGAAACAUUUACCUUUAUGUUUUUUGGAAAGGCAUGACCUUGUUAGAAGUCACAACCUUUUGAAAAAAUAUGCCACAACCGCUUGGUAAAAAGCAUGACCUCUUAAUGUCAUAACCUUUUGGGAAAAUGAUAUCUUAGUUGCCCAAAAACAUCUAUUCUCCCUUUUAUAUAUUUGCCUUUAAAUCAUACUGUCAAGAGACAAAAAAUAAGAUAGACUUCUUUAAAAGUAAUGUAAUUGGUUUACUCACAAACUUCAUGUAUUCAGCAUACAGGUACUUUGCUUAUCAAUGUGGCAAAAGUAUGAUAGCUGGGACACUGAACCCUACGCUAGUUGCGCAACGUGCAUCAGAAUUAAUGAAGGGAAGUCCGCUUAGACUGUUCCCAGCUGCUGGGGCUGCUUUCUUUGAAGGGCAGAAAGUGUGCUAGUGGCCGGGAAAGGUUUUUACAAGGCCCUAGUGCAAACAGAGCGGUGGAUUCCCCCCCUUCCCCUCCUCUUCUACUUUUCCCCGCCUGCUUUCUAACAGUGGAGGAGCCGGGGCUCCGGGAGAGCAGGAUGUGUGUGCUGUAGACCCCCUCCUCCUCCCUCUCUCAUAGCUGCGUCUCUCACUCACUGCACUGUCUCGCGCACAUCUUCCCUUCAUGAAUUCUGACCCGUGGUGCGUAACCAGCAUAGGGUCCCAGCUAUCAUACUUUUGACAUCAAUCCAGUUACAAAUAGGAUUUGAAGUAGUUUCUCUGGGUAGGUAACACAGAGUAUCAUUUCCUAGAAUCAAUAGUGCAUAGUCCAAAGCAUCUCUCUGUGCCAAGAGUCUAAUAGUCUCCGUCUAGUCUGAAAGUCCAAUGGUGUCUCUAAGGAUACUCUUCCUACUAAAGUCUGAAACAAACAGUUCCUAUCGAACUCUAAACUGAACACAUAGUUCCUACUGAAGUCUUAAGCAUAACAGUUCUAAAAUGGAGUCUGAGUCCUGAACAAGCCCAGUUCUGAUCACAUGGUCUGCACCCUCUCCUACAACAAAGAGGUUAAGGAAAACUGCAAAUCAACACACACAUAUACAAUACAGUAAACAAUCUGAAUUAUAUACAGAACAAACAACUACUGGAGGCUUGAGAGGGUUGCUAUUUCCAACAUUGCAAGUGUCUCCCUUCAGUUUAGACCAGGGGUCCUCAAACUUUAUAAACAGAGGGCCAGGUCACAGUCCCUCAAACUGUUGGAGAGCCGGAUUAUAAUUUGAAAAAAAACAUGAAUUCCUAUGCACACUGCACAUAUCUUAUUUGUAGUGCAAAAAAACACUUGAAAACAAUACAAUCAUUAAAAUGAAGAACAAAUAUUAACAAAUAUAUACUUAUUAGUAUUUCAAUGAGAAGUGUCGCCCUGCUUUUGACUGAUGAGAUAGGAUUGUUGUUGUUGUUGUUGUUGUUGUGUGCUUUCAAAUCAUGUCAGACUUAAGUUGACCCUGAGUGAGGGCCAGGUAAAUGACCUUGGAGGGCCGUAUCCGGCCCCUGGGCCUUAGUUUAAGGACCCUUGGUUUAGACUAUGCUUGAGAGAAUGAUUCAGAUGUGUCCCCAUUGGAUGGCCUUGUUGAGAACUGAGAAGGUUUAUCUUGCUCACCCCAUUCCUUCUCCUGGAAACAUGACGCUCUGUCCUGAUUCUGAACAUUGGGAAUAUAAAAAUGUAUAAGAAUAUAUUUUCCAGAUUUGUAUGGAUUGAGUGUAUUUGCUAGGCCAACUAUAAAGACAGCAUAUAUGUGCAACCUCUUUACAUCUCUUCCUCAGGCAAUGUUUACAAGUGGUAAUUUUUGGCUGGAGGGAGAGGGGAGAGAGGAAAGAAAAGAGAAAGUGUCUUGAUGUCAUGAGCUAUGGAUGAACAACCCAGUCUUGGGAUGCAGUGGGGAAGUAAGUGUCUGCAAUAGCUCAAAUAGGGCACUAGAAUGUGGUAUGUUGAUACCUUCAGGAUUUGCUGAAAGCUAUCCCAAGCCUGCUUCAAGCAAGAAAAGCAAAAAAGGGAUGCAUUUCCUCUCCUAAUUUUUCAGAAAAAGUAAAAAACCAAAUCCCCUUGUUCAGACAAAGGGGUUUGAUCAUAGAAUUCACAAUUCAUGAAUUUACAAUUCAUGGCAUCAAGAGUAGAAGCAAAUAUGUAUUGUCGAAGGCUUUCAUGGCUGGAAUCACUAGAACCUAGAAGCAAAUAAGCGCUGUGUUGGAAACAGAAUAGAGUCUGGGUUAUUGUAGGUUUUCCGGGCUAUAUGACCAUGUUCUAGAGGCAUUUUCUCCUGACGUUUCGCCUGCAUCUAUGGCAAGCAUCCUCAGAUAAUAGAGUCUCUUACUAUGGUGGAUGGUUAGGUAGAACAGUACAGUACGACUCCUGCGAGAAUACAUUCCUGGACUUUUCAAUGAUAUGCGAAGAAGUGGAUAAUGUCGAACCCUAUUAAAAUGGACUUUUGGACCAAGAAUAUCCUAGAGUUACACUGGAGGACCUUGAAAAGGCCCAGCAGAUUUUGUCAGAGGUGGACACAUGAAGGUGGAUGACGGUCCCAUAGAUACAGGGACCAUGCUGCAUAGCAGACUCAGUCCAGCUUUGAACUAUGGCUGAGGACUUCCUAGAGAGAAGACAUGGACACUGGCAUCUUGUGAACAUGGUGAACAAAUGAUUUAAUAUCAUAAGUUAAGAUCUCCCACCCAGAAUGAACCUUUCCCAUUCUCACCUACUGUCAUUGAAACUACUUUCUAUACUGCGUUUUGUGUGUAUGUGUUUUUUAAAAUAAAUCUGUAAAUAAAGAGAAAUAAAACUUUCUAACAAGGGA
Non-coding RNA from Anolis sagrei ordinatus, 3416 nucleotides. The record is from RefSeq and is a predicted model, not a curated record. Lineage: Eukaryota; Metazoa; Chordata; Lepidosauria; Squamata; Anolidae.